Molecule: ribosomal RNA, 288 nt
Filed under: Triticum aestivum (bread wheat)
Lineage: Eukaryota; Viridiplantae; Streptophyta; Magnoliopsida; Poales; Poaceae
Description: partial small subunit ribosomal RNA
Source: RNAcentral
AUGCUUAGGUACAAUUUGGAGGAUCAGCUCACGGUCAUCUACACGGAUGAGGAGUCCUACUGGCGCUUGCGAGGUACGCAGAAUUGGAUCCUCAAUGGGGGUGCCAAUACCGCUUACUUCCAAGCCAUUGCCAACGGACGCCGUCGCCGGAACUCCAUUCCGCUUCUCUGGGACGGCGAGAACCUCCUGCAAAGGACGGAAGACAUCCGGUCUCAUGUUGACAGCCUUUACAGAGACCUAUUCUCUGCCUCUCCGCAGGGAGGUCUUGCCCUGGCGCAAGACAUCUGG